CCCAACCAGAUGGGAGACAGAGGAGAAAACAGAUGACCACUGCAUCUAAACAGACCCAGGCCAUAUUGAGAAAUCAGACUCGGAAAAGGUGGUGACGUGAAACAUGGAGAUAUGAAGUGAUGCCCAUGACCCUGCAAUGCGGAAUAACAGACCUGAAGAUUCCUUCUCCUCAAAAAGGCGGGAACUCAUCCUAGAUGGUGACCAGAGGAAAGAGAAAAUGGGUG
This is a non-coding RNA of Phascolarctos cinereus (koala), 224 nucleotides long. NCBI's taxonomy places the organism in Eukaryota, Metazoa, Chordata, Mammalia, Diprotodontia, Phascolarctidae. The record is from RefSeq and is a predicted model, not a curated record.